AACACGACUGGCCCUGUAGCGGCACACGAGUCAACGGAAGAUUCGAAUCGGGAGUGACUCAUAUUGUUGUGCUUUGGAGUGUCAACAUUACUUUUUCUUGAAAGGUAAACGAACUCCAAACAAAAUAUUAACGCUGUUAUUUGUAAUCGUCAACCGGAGUUGCUACAAAUAGACGAACGUGCUCUCUAGGACAAUCAAAGUAUAGCGGAGCAAUAUAGCGAAUCAUUAUAGCGAAUCAUUAUAGCGAAUCAUUAUAGCGAAUCAUUAUAGCGAGUCGUACAGUCGAAUAGCGAGCAUAGAGUUGAACAGUAACAUUGAGCGAGCAACUAUAACGACCUGCAUACGGAAGACGAAACGAGCAGAUGGGAGAUUUGUUGAGGAAAAUGUUAGGUUGGUAUGAUCACUAGUUCCUACAUGCAAAGUUGGUACGACUACUAACGACGCUCCUUCGUUUUUCCCCGUGUGCCACGUGUUAAUUAUCAGAGAGUAUGUUGAAAUGGUUGUACAUGGUGAUGAAAUACAGAGUAUAUAAAACUAAAUCUGUGUGAAUCAAU
Bombus impatiens (common eastern bumble bee) is the source of this 554-nucleotide long non-coding RNA. RefSeq lists it as uncharacterized. The transcript has 2 exons. Lineage: Eukaryota; Metazoa; Arthropoda; Insecta; Hymenoptera; Apidae. The record is from RefSeq and is a predicted model, not a curated record.